This 200-nucleotide unclassified non-coding RNA is filed under the name Hyaloscyphaceae sp. Its description in RNAcentral is "partial internal transcribed spacer 2". The record is from RNAcentral. Lineage: Eukaryota; Fungi; Ascomycota; Leotiomycetes; Helotiales; Hyaloscyphaceae.
UUAAGUUCAGCGGGUAUCCCUACCUGAUCCGAGGUCAAACUAGAAAGUUGGGGGUUGAUGGCCAGCGUCCACCGGGUCCCUGUAGCGAGGAUAUUUACUGCGCUCAGGGCCCGACGGCACCGCCACUGAUUUUAAGGCCCGCCGCGUGAGCAGCGGAGCCCAACACCAAGCAAUGCUUGAGGGGUGUAAUGACGCUCGAA